UACGUAGGGGGCAAGCGUGGUCCGGAUUCAUUGGGCGGAAAGAGCGUGUAGGCGGCCAGGUAGGGCGGGUGUGAAAACUGGAGGCUCAACCUUCAGAGGUCGACCGAAACCAUCUGGCUAGAGUCCGGGAGAGGAGAGUGGAAUUCCUGGUGUAGCGGUGAAAUGCGCAGAUAUCAGGAAGAACACCCGUGGCGAAAGCGGCUCUCUGGAACGGUACUGACGCUGAGACGCGAAAGCGUGGGGAGCGAACAGG
This 253-nucleotide ribosomal RNA is filed under the name uncultured bacterium. RNAcentral describes it as "partial 16S ribosomal RNA". It matches the Rfam family "Bacterial small subunit ribosomal RNA", at positions 524 to 776 of the family's 1533-position model. The record is from RNAcentral.